This is a non-coding RNA of Acanthosepion pharaonis, 113 nucleotides long. Lineage: Eukaryota; Metazoa; Mollusca; Cephalopoda; Sepiida; Sepiidae. The record is from the annotation of a GenBank genome assembly.
UACGACCGCAUCACGUUGAAAUACCGGUUUCCAUAUGAUCACCGAAGUUAAGCAACGCGGUACCUGAUCAGUACCCAGACGGGUGACUGCUUGUGAAUAUUAGAUGCUGUAAG